RNAcentral lists this long non-coding RNA (462 nucleotides) under Olea europaea (common olive). RNAcentral describes it as "long non-coding RNA (OEUR_LNC001670)". Lineage: Eukaryota; Viridiplantae; Streptophyta; Magnoliopsida; Lamiales; Oleaceae. The record is from RNAcentral.
GAACUCAUCACAUCCUGUGAUCUAGCGGACAAACCCAUUUUACAACUCCAUGUAUAUUCGACGGCAUUUUCCACAUUUGAAGGCCUCAAUUGCAAUACAUAUGGUGCAGACUGUGUCAGGCAAGACAAAGGAAGUGGAAUAAUUUCAUAUACCAUGUGAACUAUUUGAUGAGCUUCCACUUAUCCCAGAACAAUACAAGAGUUCAUCGGACUCUCUGAGAGUUGACACACAUAUUUCAGAAACUUCUUUCGAACUCAUCACAUCCUGUGAUCUAGCGGACAAACCCAUUGUACAACUCCAUGUAUAUUCGACAGCAUUUUCCACAUUUGAAGGCCUCAAUUGCAAUACAUAUGGUGCAGACUGUGUCAGGCAAGACAAAGGAAGUGGAAUAAUUUCACCCGGUUUUAAGGGCCCAAGAUAUAUUUGCGAUUUGAAAUCUUUGGCCACUGGUUUCCUCUUCCU